RNAcentral lists this transfer RNA (82 nucleotides) under Trichoderma chlorosporum. RNAcentral's name for it is "tRNA-Thr". It matches the Rfam family "tRNA". Rfam says of the family: Transfer RNA (tRNA) molecules are approximately 80 nucleotides in length. Their secondary structure includes four short double-helical elements and three loops (D, anti-codon, and T loops). Lineage: Eukaryota; Fungi; Ascomycota; Sordariomycetes; Hypocreales; Hypocreaceae. RNAcentral also lists the same sequence under 5 other names. The record is from RNAcentral.
GCCCGCUUGGCUAAGCGGUAUAGCGUGUCACUAGUAAUAACUUGACAUGACAAGGUGAUCAGUUCGACUCUGAUAGUGGGCA